CAGAACAGAACAGGAAGUUAGGAACUUCUAACAGGAACUGAGGAAAUUUUUUUUGGCUUUUAGCAACAUUGCAAAUUCCCUCAAGGAAUUUGCAAGGGAGUUUUUUAAAUUGCAAAAGUAAUGAGGAAAAUUGCAAUCAAUUUAGAAACUCAAAAAAGGAACGCUUCACGUAGUUUACCUGUAAUAGCAAUACAGUAAUUGCAUAUUAAUAUUUUCGGACGUGACAUAUUCUUAUUCAAAACGUACGUGACUUUCUAGAUGUUCUAAAUUUUGUGCAUCUUAAUACUUGAUUGAACAAAAUGUUGAAAGGUUUUCCUAGAUGGACAAUUUGAGCAAAAACUAGCUAUGCAACCCUCUAAUAAAAUGCCCUAGAAGUCAUUUUGCGCUGCACUAAUAUUUCACAUUGGCUAUUAUUGACUUCGUGUCAUAUUACACCUAUUAUUAAAUAUACCCGGUAAUGACCUUGAACGAAUUCAUACAGUUUCCGCAAUCAAAAAUUUUAUUCAAACCAAACUUUUUUACGUCGUUACGUACACUAGAUACUCGAAGAACUUUCGUCUUAAAGACCAGAAUUUAGCCUAGCUUUCUUUGUCCCGAACAUAAAUAUUAACCCCAGACAAUACAAAGGACAAAGCCAAAGUGAAACAUCACGAAUUCGUCACUAUUUCGGAACUACGAUUCGUCACUUCUCGUGGCUUACCAAAGAUCCGGCCCAUUUCAAAUCCAUUUCAUCUAUUCGCAGCUGAAACACAUCGCCAAGUUUAAGAGGCCUUUGACUAAAACACACGCCAUUAUCGUAUGUGUCCCCUGCCCUCGUUGCUGUAAGUUUGUCUGGGGAAAUCGCGACAAAUCGUCCUCUUUUCUCGUGAAAACCAUCCGAUUUUUCAACGCGGGUCCUCUUCGCCAUUAAAGGUUUAUCUCGUAGCUAUGUAGUUUUUAAUCCUGCAACAGAACAGUCUUUUUAUUUCCACAGAUAAUAGGAAGUUCUUUGAUAUAUUGCGCUUUAUUUUGAUAAAUUUUUGUAAAACCUGUUUCGGUUUGUUUACAACGUGAAAGCACUGUACAAGAUAACAUCGCUUG
This is a non-coding RNA of Paramuricea clavata, 1080 nucleotides long. The record is from the annotation of a GenBank genome assembly. Lineage: Eukaryota; Metazoa; Cnidaria; Anthozoa; Malacalcyonacea; Plexauridae.